Cervus elaphus (red deer) is the source of this 162-nucleotide long non-coding RNA. RefSeq lists it as uncharacterized. The transcript is spliced from 3 exons. The record is from RefSeq and is a predicted model, not a curated record. Lineage: Eukaryota; Metazoa; Chordata; Mammalia; Artiodactyla; Cervidae.
UAUUUCCCAUGAAGAGAUGGAGCCAAAUGCCGUGACCUUAGUUUUUUGAAUCCCGAGAUUCAAGCCAGCUUUUUCACUCUCUUCUUUCACUCUCAUCAAGAGGCUCUUUAGCUCCUCUUCACUUUCUGUCAUUACAGUGGUAUCAUGUGCAGAUCUGAGUUU